Molecule: ribosomal RNA, 406 nt
Filed under: uncultured bacterium
Lineage: Bacteria
Description: partial 16S ribosomal RNA
Rfam family: Bacterial small subunit ribosomal RNA
Source: RNAcentral
AUUGAACGCUGGCGGCAGGCCUAACACAUGCAAGUCGAACGAGUGGCGGACGGGUGAGUAACGUCUGGGAAACUGCCCGAUGGAGGGGGUUAAUUACUGGAAACGGUAGCUAAUACCGCAUACCAUCGGAUGUGCCCAGACGGGAUUAGCUAUUAGGUGGGGUAAAGGCUCACCAAGGCGACGAUCCCUAGCUGGUCUGAGAGGGUGACCCGCCACACUGGAACGGAGACACGGUCCAGACUCCUACGGGAGGCAGCAGUGGGGAAUAUUGCGCAAUGGGCGCAAGCCUGAAGCAGCAAUGCCGCGUGUGUGAGGAAGGCCUUCGGGUUGUAAAGUACUUUCAGCGGGGAGGCGUUACCCACAGAGAAAGCAACGGCUAACUCCGUGCCAGCAGCCGCGGUAAUAC